CCUGACACUGCUCAUGGUGUUUUUGUUCCUGUGUUCAGGACUGAGUUCAGUGUUGCCUUAUCAGUGUCCCUGGAAAUCAGCUCUGCCCAGCACUUUUCCAAUCCAGCUUCCCCACACGGUCCUGUCUCACCGGUUCCUUUCCUUUCUCACAUUCCCUGCUGGGUGCACUCUCCUUCCUCAGUGCCUGGGCUGGUAUUUACAUCCCUUUCCUGUUUGUCUUGUAGCUCAUCCCAGCAUGGAUUCCCUCACCAAGGGAGUAACAUCUUCCUUCCAGUCAAAGACUUCCCACCUAACAAGGAACAACGAAUUCACUCCAGAUUUAUUCCAGAAUCUGCAGCCUCAGUCACACAAACCCGCCAGGGAAGCAAAGGAAACUCCUUCCAGCCCUGCAGAGCCACACCACACACCGAGCUCCUCAGCUGCCUGCCUGAUGAUGCAAGGAGUGAAUAAGCACGAAUAAAGACACAGAAACUGGGUGUUGUUUGUAGAAGUGAGGAGCAGAGCCCUCCGCCCAGCGCUGGGGAUACCGGAGCUCUUGCACAACUCGGCUCUCAGCCUGCUGCUCCUUUUUAUGCAUCUCUGUCCCUGUGGGCACUUUUCCACCAGGAGCACUGGGGAAGUUUUCCUUCCUCCCCAGCUGGAGGAGGAAGCAGCUCCUGGUCUGUGAGCAGCAGGGCUGGGAUGCCAGAGUGGGAUUCCUGCGUCAGGAUUUCCCUCAGACUCCGCACACCGUGAGCCUGUGCUGGCCUGCCAGGCUGGCUCACGGGCAGCUAAUUAGCGCCCUAAUUUCUAAGAAUUGGAAGAGGAUCGUUAAUUAAAAUUGGUUUGAAAGCUUCCAGUUUUGUAGAUGUUGAGUAAUUAAAACAACCAAUGGGCUCCUUUGUGUUUUCAUCUGAGAGCUCCCAGAUGGAGGCUGGAGACUCACCCUGGAGGGGAAUCAGUCCUGACCAGGCUGGGAAUAAGGGAGAAG
RNAcentral lists this long non-coding RNA (970 nucleotides) under Parus major (Great Tit). RNAcentral describes it as "lncRNA (ENSPMJG00000000270.1)". Lineage: Eukaryota; Metazoa; Chordata; Aves; Passeriformes; Paridae. The record is from RNAcentral.